UAAAUAUGUCUGUAAAUGUUUUUAUUACUAUGUUUCUACUGCUACAUUGUAUAUUUUGGAGAAACUGUAUUUUUCCUGGUCUGCUUUUGGUUUGGGGCUUGUGUUUUUUCUUUCAGAGGCUGGGCGUGGCUUAUUGGCUGCUGGAGCUCUCUGCAAUCACUCACCUGAUUGUCUUCUGUAAUCACCAGCUGCAGCAUUUAUACCCUGGUUCACCUCUCCCAAACUGCCAGAUUAUUUCCGCCUACACCAUGUGCCUCCAACCAACGAGCUCCAGCGCCUCACCACCCAGCCUCUCAUUCAGCCUCACCUCAAUAAAUACCCCUUUACCCAG
Molecule: non-coding RNA, 331 nt
Organism: Labrus bergylta (ballan wrasse)
Lineage: Eukaryota; Metazoa; Chordata; Actinopteri; Labriformes; Labridae
Source: RefSeq, a predicted model, not a curated record